Vidua macroura (Pin-tailed whydah) is the source of this 752-nucleotide long non-coding RNA. RefSeq lists it as uncharacterized. NCBI's taxonomy places the organism in Eukaryota, Metazoa, Chordata, Aves, Passeriformes, Viduidae. The record is from RefSeq and is a predicted model, not a curated record. The transcript has 3 exons.
GAGACCCUGCCCCUCACAGCUGCCCGCCCGCACAAGUCCUCAAAAGGCUGGGAAGGCGCGUGGUGGAGCUUCUUCCCACUCUUUUGAGGAUCUCUGCGUGCGGGCAGGUGUGACGGGACGGCGUUCCCGCACUUUGAGAGGCUUCUGAGCCCCUUUCCUCAGGGCAGUGAGGGCGCGGCGUUCUCCCGGCGGGUUGGUGCCCGCUCCUCAGGGCUGCCGAGCGGCGCUGGCGUUCUCCCGGGCAGCUUGGUGGCUCCUUUCUGGCUCUGAACGCGGUGUGGCUGCGAAAAGCUUCCUUCCCUGUCUCAGGAAAGUAAAGUUUUGGGUUUUUAAGUAGAGUAGCGCUCCGAGGGGCUGUUUACGGACGGUCCGUGCCGCCUCCCCUUGCGGCUGUUUUGCUUUUGGCUGUGGCACUGGGUGAGGGGGCCCAAACAGGUGAAUUACUGGUUCUUUCUCCCUGAAACUGACUUAGCAAAGCAAUCUUUGCCUGGAAAUAAACACUUGUAGUUGCUGGCAGCCUCCCAGGGGAAGGUCUGUGCUAGUCCUUAACCCUCCCGGGGUUCAAGUAGCAGCAUCAGCUAAAGAGGUGCCAGAAAGGCCAUCUCCAGAAUUGUUUCCAUUCUACAAAAGCAAAUUAGUGCCUGAUUGCAAAGAGCUCACUUGGCUUUUCAGGAGAAUCCUGCUUUUGCCUGUUCAAGGCACCUUUUACAGCUUCUGCUGGCCUGCAGUUUUCAAUAAAAGCCCAGAAAGUA